GGGGAAAGCGACUGCACUGGUCGCCGCGGCGGCGGCGGCGGCUCCGGCAGCGCCCAGGACUGUGCCCCGCCGGACCCAGAUGCCCCGGGAAGCCGACAGUCAGGCUGCCCGCCGGAGCUCACAGGCGGCGGCGGCGCGGCAGCGGCGGUGGCGGCGGCGGCGGCGGCGGCGGUGGCGCUUGGCAGGCAACCCACUAGUGGACGCUUUGCUUGAUGAAGACCAAGAGUUCUGACGCGUUCAGAGGCUGUUGGGAGAGAACAGAAAAGUAAGCAGAGGACCAUAACCCACAUGCCAAUGCCACGAUGACGUAUGUCAGUGUGUCGGGGUCCAAAAGGGCUCCCCAAGAAAGGUCAGUGCUCAAGAAGAGAGAGCUGAAAGGUCAUUAGGUCAUUAGUCCCCAAACCAAAGGAGUGAGGACUGCUCCCUGGGCUUGGUGACAUUUGUCCUAUGGAGAAAGGGAUAGAAUCUGCCUGAAAUGUGGG
RNAcentral lists this long non-coding RNA (482 nucleotides) under Mus pahari (shrew mouse). Its description in RNAcentral is "predicted gene 2018 (MGP_PahariEiJ_G0004651.1)". Lineage: Eukaryota; Metazoa; Chordata; Mammalia; Rodentia; Muridae. The record is from RNAcentral.